Molecule: unclassified non-coding RNA, 246 nt
Filed under: Hevea brasiliensis (rubber tree)
Lineage: Eukaryota; Viridiplantae; Streptophyta; Magnoliopsida; Malpighiales; Euphorbiaceae
Source: RNAcentral
AACAAGUGUUUGGUUUACUUGAUAUCCCUUCGGGUAUCAUCUUGGUUGGCCGUUGGAAAGAAGUAACAAAAUUAAAGCCGAUCUUCUCUUUUCUUUUAUGUGGUCUUUUGGUGCACAACAGGGCAGCUGGUCUUGGGCCCAUGUGCAUAAUUGCUCAUUGGAUUUUCUACGCAAGUUCAAUUUUUCUUUCACUAAAACUAACCAACACCGUGCUCUUGCCUCUUGGUCGUUUCAGGAUUUCAUACA